AGUGAACGCUGGCGGCAGGCCUAACACAUGCAAGUCGAACGGCAGCACAAGAGAGCUUGCUCUCUGGGUGGCGAGUGGCGGACGGGUGAGGAAUGCAUCGGAAUCUGCCCAUUUGUGGGGGAUAACCUCGGGAAACCGGGACUAAUACCGCAUACGACCUACGGGUGAAAGCAGGGGAUCUUCGGACCUUGCGCAGAUGGAUGAGCCGAUGCCGGAUUAGCUAGUUGGAGGGGUGAAGGCCCACCAAGGCGACGAUCCGUAGCUGGUCUGAGAGGAUGAUCAGCCACACUGGGACUGAGACACGGCCCAGACUCCUACGGGAGGCAGCAGUGGGGAAUAUUGGACAAUGGGCGCAAGCCUGAUCCAGCCAUGCCGCGUGUGUGAAGAAGGCCUUCGGGUUGUAAAGCACUUUUGUUGGGAAAGAAAAGCAGCCGGUUAAUACCCGGUUGUCAUGACGGUACCCAAAGAAUAAGCACCGGCUAACUUCGUG
RNAcentral lists this ribosomal RNA (490 nucleotides) under uncultured bacterium. RNAcentral describes it as "partial 16S ribosomal RNA". It matches the Rfam family "Bacterial small subunit ribosomal RNA", at positions 29 to 507 of the family's 1533-position model. The record is from RNAcentral.